CACGUUGCGCCGGAAAUGAACGGAUUAUAUUGAUGUUAUAAAUUAUAAGAUUAUACAUCUUCUACGUUA
This 69-nucleotide transfer RNA is filed under the name Cirroctopus glacialis. RNAcentral describes it as "tRNA-Ile". The record is from RNAcentral. Lineage: Eukaryota; Metazoa; Mollusca; Cephalopoda; Octopoda; Opisthoteuthidae.